AUUGAACGCUGGCGGCAGGCCUAACACAUGCAAGUCGAGCGGAUGAAGGGAGCUUGCUCCUGGAUUCAGCGGCGGACGGGUGAGUAAUGCCUAGGAAUCUGCCUGGUAGUGGGGGAUAACGUCCGGAAACGGGCGCUAAUACCGCAUACGUCCUGAGGGAGAAAGUGGGGGAUCUUCGGACCUCACGCUAUCAGAUGAGCCUAGGUCGGAUUAGCUAGUUGGUGGGGUAAAGGCCUACCAAGGCGACGAUCCGUAACUGGUCUGAGAGGAUGAUCAGUCACACUGGAACUGAAACACGGUCCAGACUCCUACGGGAGGCAGCAGUGGGUAUUAUUGGACAAUGGGCGAAAGCAUGAUCCAGCCAUGCCGCGUGUGUGAAGAAGGUCUUCGGAUUGUAAAGCACUUUAAGUUGGGAGAAAGGUCAGUAAGUUAAUACCUUGCUGUUUUGACGUUACCAACAGAAUAAGCACCGGCUAACUUCGUG
RNAcentral lists this ribosomal RNA (484 nucleotides) under uncultured bacterium. RNAcentral's name for it is "partial 16S ribosomal RNA". It matches the Rfam family "Bacterial small subunit ribosomal RNA", at positions 30 to 507 of the family's 1533-position model. The record is from RNAcentral.